Molecule: long non-coding RNA, 2194 nt
Organism: Nymphaea colorata (pocket water lily)
Lineage: Eukaryota; Viridiplantae; Streptophyta; Magnoliopsida; Nymphaeales; Nymphaeaceae
Exons: 3
Source: RefSeq, a predicted model, not a curated record
UCGUAUCCAUUUUUCUACGGAAGUUCAAAUGGCGGUUUUGAAUGUUUCGCGGGUAAAACAAGAAUUGGGUUUCGCUCUCCGCACUUCUUCACUGGUGCGUUCUCUCUCUCUCUCUCUCUGUCUGUCUUUUGCGUUUCAACACUGGCUUCCAAAGGGAUCGCUCUCAUGCAUGGUGGGGCUUGCCGCUUGUGGUUUCUGCCCUCCCUGCUUUAAUGGCGAUCGUAUGAAAGAAGCGGAACAAAGGAAGAGGAUGCAGGGUACCCUACGUUUCAAGCAGAGGCAGAGCCGGUGGAAUGCAACGAUUCUUUCGGGCUUCAGAGAUCCUUUGGCGGGUUCCCUGGGUUUGUGAGUCCGAGGAACCUAAUGUUGAAUAUCUCGCAGAAGACGAAGACCUUCUAAGAUCGUCCAAUCGGCAGCCUUAGACCUUCUCUCGCUUCAGACGAACCCCUUCGCAUCCUGCUCGCCUCCUUGGCAGCCAUCGGGGGUCUGAUUUUCAGUUGUCGCCGUCUCCUUGUUGGACGUAUUAUUCAUCACCAAAAAUCUACUGAUAACCUAAGAGAUCUGGCGAUCUGGGUUAUGACCAGUUGCAACAACAAUGUAGCAAUGACCACUUUUCUGCUUUGCUUAUUAUGGUAAUUAUGCAAAAUGUAGGAGCGAGUAGACAGGAAUGGAACUUAUGCACUAUACUCUUAUGUUGAGGUUAUUGCUGGACUGUAUGCCAUCUGGUCAAGUUCCUGAAUGUGUUGAUCAAAAAGCUUGGCAAUACUGUAAGUUAGUAACUAAUGUAAAUAUUGAACUGAAAAAUGCUUGGUGGAUUAUCCUAUCUAAAAACAAAGGGUGUUUAUCAAGUAACUGCUUAUGCUUUCUUUAUUCUUGCUGCGGCCUGAGCUUUAACAACCUGACAGGCGAGGUGCCAAAAUCUUUAAGUGCUUGUAAGUGUGUAUGUUUUUAGAUUAUAGAUUUUCUUUUCUGACCAGCAGUUGACAACACGUAAACAAUGUUACAACCAAUACUUUGGCUGUAGGUUUUUGACAGACAACAGCCUGACUCCCACACCAUAUGCAGAAUUGACUACAAAAAAGGCACACCUCAAAAGUAUAUUUCUCCUUGAUAGAUGUGCUUAUCCUUCCGGGGUUAAAUGUUCUAGUAUUGAUGAUGAAACUGUUAUUUCCUUUACUUUUCUUUUGUAAUUUUCUGUUCUCUGCGAGAUGUAUAGUUUGCUUCCUCUUAUUGCCAUGCAUUAUGAACACACUGAGUUGGUAGGAUAGACUUAUAAACAUUGGAUUGCCUUUGGUUUUGAGUUUGAAUCACAAUAACCUAUUUAAUGGUGAUUAUUUUUUCUUGAAAGGCAUUUUCAUCCACUUGAACUUGAUUGUUAAAAUAAAUAUGCCAUUUGCACACACAUGAUGUCAUAAACACGUGUGAGAGGAGAACAGGACAUGUUUGCAGCAAUUGCCAUAUCUGAACAGACUCGUACAGUAAGUAGUGUAUGCUUCAUAUUGAAUCUGCAUAUUAAUUUCAUCAGCUGCUAUUUGUGACUUGAGAAUCUGCAAUUAGUUUUCUUGUACUUAAAAAACUGUGAUUAUCUUAACCACGUAAUGGACAUCAUGUCACAUUGAAGCAUUUAACUUCACUAUUAUUCAUGCUUCAAGUUAUCUUAAUUUGCAGUCCCCAGGUGCAAAGGGCUUAGAUUAGGUGACCUGCUUAUUGCAUUUAUGUCCAGGUGAUUUUCACAUUCAUACUGGCCUUACCAUGCAGGUACUUGUCAUACAAUAGCUUCACAAACGUCUUCUAAUGCAGCAAUUUCUCGUUGCUACAAAGCCUGUAAGAUCUCCCAUACAGUCCCAUGAUUUUCAGAUUCUUUUCAUUCAUUUUGUUCCUCACUGUCACUCGCAGUCAUCAUUACCAUUCCCCGGCAAUCUAGUUAACAAGUGUAAAGGCGCAGGAAAAAGAGUAAAGAGUCUCUCUUUACAUUUUGAACUUUUCACGAUGGAAAUUUCUUCAGAACGAUCAAGCAGCUGGUCUACUACUUGCAUUAACGUCACACAUUAUUGCUUGAAAGAAAUGCUGCGAUAGUAGUAAACCAAAAUGUUAGGUUACUCUGGUUUUUCUUUUAAAACCGAACUCGGAACUGUUCCUCCAAUACCUGGCCUGCGACUUCUUUAAAUGACAUUAUUGUUAAUUUUUCUCGACA